RNA transcript from Sorghum bicolor (sorghum), 1701 nucleotides. It is a transcript of the gene named protein VASP homolog, with no coding region annotated. The transcript is spliced from 4 exons. The record is from RefSeq and is a predicted model, not a curated record. NCBI's taxonomy places the organism in Eukaryota, Viridiplantae, Streptophyta, Magnoliopsida, Poales, Poaceae.
UAUCUCUCUCUUCCCUCUCUCCCCACGCGCGCCCUCCCAGCCACGGCGCCCCGCCGCCGCCUCCACCGCGCUCACUCCGCCCCGAACCCACCCCUCCCCGCCCCGCCCCAGCCGCGGCCCGCUCGGCGGCGGCGCGUCCAAGCCAUGCCCUGCCCGGCGCCGCUUCGCCCCACUCUGGCCGGCCGUCGGCCACCGGAUCCGGUGGCAGGAUGAGGCGGAUCCAUGGCGGACGUCAGCAGCGGCGGCGGCGGCGGCGGAAGCGUCCGGUGGCAGGAUGAGGUGGAUCCCGAACUGCGCUCUCUCGUCUACUCUUUCCAUCUAUCCUGGAGCGCGAUUGACGUACUGCCGCGAUUGUUUGUUCGAUCUGGUGUUUAGGGGGUGUUUAUUUAGGGUUCAACUCGUGUCUCCUGGGCGAAAUCCGCGAAGAAUGCAUUAGUUUCCGGAUCGAUGCGAUGCGUGUUCAAUUCAAUCGCCUAGCGAUGCGAUUGGCUAUUUCUUCAUCUGUUAAAUUGAUAUAAUCACCCGGUCGGAUUUUCUUCUCAACUUUCUGUGUCCAGAGAGGAGACAAUGGCUGGAUUAUGCAGGGCUCUGCACAAGGGCAGAUCACCUCCGGAGGGCCUUGACCAAUACGUAGCAGAUUUCGAGGAGGCCACAUUCGAGAAAGCAACAGGAUCGACUACAUGAAAAUGAUAUCUAUCAGGGUCAGUUUCGGCCAAAAAGAGGCAAAACUAAAGGCUAAGAUUGCUGCAGACCGUAAACAAAAGAUGCAAAUGGUGCACCAGAUGAUGCAGUCGGCUAACAUGGUUCAAGCUAUUCAGGGAGUCAAUAGUUCUAACAUGGUUCAAGCAAAUGGUGCAUCAAAUUUUUCUGAAACAGUAGCACAUUGCAGUAUUCAGGUCACGGAAACUGAACCAAGCAUGUCCCUCGUUUCUCAGGAGCAGGCCUAACUGAUUCCAAUCCCCUCGUGCUCAAAGGGAACAUAUCAAGAACGUUAAGAAGAAAAUGUGCUAUUGCUCUACCACUGUAGUAACUUUAUCAUAUUCUAUAAAGUGUAGGAUCGGCUACUAGACUAUAUUGAGUGUAUACUAAUCAAGGUUAUUUCUGUACUAAUACACAAUCGGUUCCUUGUUCAGGAUAUGAUCCGUUUGGAUGCCUAAUUAUCAUAGUUAUUAAAUGGAGAGUUGUUAAAUGGAGAGUUGCCUAAUGAUCCGUUUGGAUGCCUAAUUAUCAUAGUUACCUGCUGUGUCUUAAUGUUUCAUUUCUUACUGUAACCACGUGCUCAUUGGUUGAUUCUAUUUAUCUUGUUUUGACUGUAGUAGGUAGGGACCAGAGAGAUGUGCAGUAGCUGUUGCUGCAUUGCCAGCCCGUGGCCAUUUAGGAAACAAUAGCUACUUGACUCCUACUUAUAUUUGUGCUUAUAACCAGUGCACUAAUUGAAGGCAAACUACUCGUCAUUUUCUUCAUUGGUGUUUGUAGCAUUAGUAUGAAGGCAAGCUGCUCCUUAUCAUAUUCAUCUGUUCAUACCUGUAUGUUGCCAAAAACUUGUAUGUUAGUUGGCAGAUAGCAGAAUCGAAUGACUUGAAUAUUUCCUUCAAGAUAAUGAUUUUCUCUUUGAAUGUCAUUCUGCUUUUGUUUUUGGAGCAGAGCUAGACCCGGCCACAUGCCUAGUGUUCUAUCAAUAAUGAUUCUCUUCGAAUGUCA